Long non-coding RNA from Grus americana (Whooping crane), 697 nucleotides. RefSeq lists it as uncharacterized. The transcript is spliced from 3 exons. NCBI's taxonomy places the organism in Eukaryota, Metazoa, Chordata, Aves, Gruiformes, Gruidae. The record is from RefSeq and is a predicted model, not a curated record.
ACUGCUCGGUGCUCGCUAACUUUCUCUCAAUGAGAGCUUGUGCUUCAGUGAUGAGAAAAGCAAUUUCUGUACAAACCCAUGAAGUGUCUUGAGGGACUGGUUAUUUCGAAGCAUCUCCUGGCGCUGCAAAAAGUGGGACAGUCUUCCUUUUCCUGUUAGAUUUUUACUGUGAAUGGAUUUUGAAGACAAAAGCUGGCUGGAAGAGCGAGCUGCGUGGCACCAGAGGGACCCGGUGAACGUACCUAUCAGUGGGGCUCCUAGAGCAUGGGCCAGCUCCGGUGGCAUGCCCAAGGCGCAGAUGGAUGCCUUGAAGAUGCCGCUGUGUUGAUCACGGUGUUUGAAGUGGGUCUCGCCUGUAUCAGCAUAAGUGAAUGAAAUGGCAGGGCUAUCCAAGACCUUGUAUGAGCACAGUCCCAGGCAAAUCUGCAUUCAUAAUCCGAGGUAUUCCUAGGGAUAUUUGUCUAAGAAGGCUGCAUUUCAAAAAGAUAUCAAGACUGAUAGACACCCAGAAUCACAGCUUUGUCCCAUCCCAUCCUGUCAAUACCUCUCUGAAGUUUUCUAACAAUAAUAAAAAUCCCAGCUGUGGAAAAUCCACAGCUUUAUUUCUUUUUUCUUCCCCCUCUCCCCUGCCGAACUCCCUCGAGUAUGACAUCAGCUUAAGCACUGUUCAUUUAGGAUCUUCAGCUUUCAGUGCCAG